Molecule: ribosomal RNA, 113 nt
Filed under: Periophthalmus magnuspinnatus
Lineage: Eukaryota; Metazoa; Chordata; Actinopteri; Gobiiformes; Gobiidae
Source: RNAcentral
GCCUGUGGUUAAACCUCCUUGUCAGAGCCUCAUCAGAUUUCAGAAGCUAAACAAGACCAGGGCUGGUUAGUACUUCGAUGGGAGACCACUGGGAAUUCUAAGUGCCACAGUGG